UGCAAUGGUAAUGAGCCGGAGAUAGUC
This 27-nucleotide non-coding RNA is filed under the name Mus musculus (house mouse). The record is from RNAcentral. Lineage: Eukaryota; Metazoa; Chordata; Mammalia; Rodentia; Muridae.